RNAcentral lists this ribosomal RNA (433 nucleotides) under uncultured bacterium. Its description in RNAcentral is "partial 16S ribosomal RNA". It matches the Rfam family "Bacterial small subunit ribosomal RNA", at positions 29 to 507 of the family's 1533-position model. The record is from RNAcentral.
AACGAACGCUGGCGGCAUGCCUAACACAUGCAAGUCGAACGAGACCUUCGGGUCUAGUGGCGCACGGGUGCGUAACGCGUGGGAACCUGCCCUUAGGUUCGGAAUAACUCCCCGAAAGGGGUGCUAAUACCGGAUAAUGUCUUCGGACCAAAGAUUUAUCGCCUUUGGAUGGGCCCGCGUUGGAUUAGCUAGUUGGUAGGGUAAAAGCCUACCAAGGCGACGAUCCAUAGCUGGUCUGAGAGGAUGAUCAGCCACACUGGGACUGAGACACGGCCCAGACUCCUACGGGAGGCAACAGUGGGGAAUAUUGGACAAGGGGCGAAAGCCUGAUCCAGCAAUGCCGCGUGAGUGAUGAAGGCCUUAGGGUUGUAAAGCUCUUUUACCCGGGAUGAUAAUGACAGUACCGGGAGAAUAAGCUCCGGCUAACUCCGUG